This 431-nucleotide ribosomal RNA is filed under the name uncultured bacterium. Its description in RNAcentral is "bacterial SSU rRNA". It matches the Rfam family "Bacterial small subunit ribosomal RNA", at positions 1001 to 1429 of the family's 1533-position model. The record is from RNAcentral.
CCGAAAGGCAGGAGUGCCUGCAAGGGAGCGCGGAGACAGGUGGUGCAUGGCUGUCGUCAGCUCGUGUCGUGGGAUGUUGGGUUAAGUCCCGCAACGAGCGCAACCCUCACCUCUUGUUGCCAUCAGGUCAUGCUGGGCACUCUAGAGGAACUGCCCCGGUCAACGGGGAGGAAGGCGGGGAUGACGUCAAGUCAUCAUGCCCCUUACGUCCUGGGCUACACACGUGCUACAAUGGCCGGUACAAAGGGAUGCCACACCGCGAGGUAGAGCUAAACCCAAAAAGCCGGUCUAAGUUCGGAUUGGAGUCUGCAACUCGACUCCAUGGAGGAGGAAUCGCUAGUAAUCGCGUAUCAGCACGACGCGGUGAAUACGUUCCCGGGCCUUGUACACACCGCCCGUCACACCACGAAAGCCAGCUGUACUCGAAGUCG